CGACCGUUAAGCCCUCCAGCGCCGAUGGUACUUGGGGUGCAGACCCCUGGGAGAGUAGGACGUUGCCAGGC
Molecule: ribosomal RNA, 71 nt
Filed under: Hazenella coriacea
Lineage: Bacteria; Bacillati; Bacillota; Bacilli; Caryophanales; Thermoactinomycetaceae
Source: RNAcentral